GUGCGGGUGCUUACACAUGCAAGUCGAACGAUGAACCGCUUUCGGGCGGGGAUUAGUGGCGAACGGGUGAGUAACACGUGGGCAAUCUGCCCUGCACUCUGGGACAAGCCCUGGAAACGGGGUCUAAUACCGGAUAUGACUGUCCAUCGCAUGGUGGAUGGUGUAAAGCUCCGGCGGUGCAGGAUGAGCCCGCGGCCUAUCAGCUUGUUGGUGAGGUAGUGGCUCACCAAGGCGACGACGGGUAGCCGGCCUGAGAGGGCGACCGGCCACACUGGGACUGAGACACGGCCCAGACUCCUACGGGAGGCAGCAGUGGGGAAUAUUGCACAAUGGGCGAAAGCCUGAUGCAGCGACGCCGCGUGAGGGAUGACGGCCUUCGGGUUGUAAACCUCUUUCAGCAGGGAAGAAGCGAAAGUGACGGUACCUGCAGAAGAAGCGCCGGCUAACUACGUGCCAGCAGCCGCGGUAAUACGUAGGGCGCAAGCGUUGUCCGGAAUUAUUGGGCGUAAAGAGCUCGUAGGCGGCUUGUCACGUCGGUUGUGAAAGCCCGGGGCUUAACCCCGGGUCUGCAGUCGAUACGGGCAGGCUAGAGUUCGGUAGGGGAGAUCGGAAUUCCUGGUGUAGCGGUGAAAUGCGCAGAUAUCAGGAGGAACACCGGUGGCGAAGGCGGAUCUCUGGGCCGAUACUGACGCUGAGGAGC
This 700-nucleotide ribosomal RNA is filed under the name Streptomyces sp. Its description in RNAcentral is "bacterial SSU rRNA". It matches the Rfam family "Bacterial small subunit ribosomal RNA", at positions 42 to 754 of the family's 1533-position model. The record is from RNAcentral. Lineage: Bacteria; Bacillati; Actinomycetota; Actinomycetes; Kitasatosporales; Streptomycetaceae.